GUAGUCAUAUGCUUGUCUCAAAGAUUAAGCCAUGCAUGUCUAAGUACACAUUUUUACACAAUGAAACUGCGAAUGGCUCAUUAAAUCAGCUAUGGUUCCUUAGAUCAUAGUUAUCCUACUUGGAUAACUGUAGUAAUUCUAGAGCUAAUACAUGCAACUAAGCCUGUCCUUUGCGGGACGGGCGCACUUAUUAGAUCAAAACCAACCGGACUUCGGUCUGACGGUUUGAUGACUCUGGAUAAUUUACCUGAUCGCACGGCCUUUGUGUCGGCGACGUAUCUUUCAAAUGUCUGCCCUAUCAACUUUUGAUGGUAGGUAAUUUGCCUACCAUGGUUAUGACGGGUAACGGGGAAUCAGGGUUCGAUUCCGGAGAGGGAGCCUGAGAAAUAGCUACCACAUCCAAGGAAGGCAGCAGGCGCGCAAAUUACCCACUCCCGAAACGGGGAGGUAGUGACGAUAAAUAACGAUGCGGGACUCAAUCGAGGCCCCGUAAUUGGAAUGAGUACACUUUAAAUCCUUUAACGAGGAUCAAUUGGAGGGCAAGUCUGGUGCCAGCAGCCGCGGUAAUUCCAGCUCCAAUAGCGUAUAUUAAAGUUGUUGCAGUUAAAAAGCUCGUAGUUGGAUCUCAGGAUUUGGAUGGAUGGUUCGCUUUCGGGCGCUACUAUCUGUCUGACCUACUCUAGUCGUGGAUGCCUUGGGUGCUCUUAAUUGAGUGCUUUUGGUGCCCGACGCAAUUACUUUGAAAAAAUUAGAGUGCUCAAAGCAGGCGUAUUGCCUGAAUAGUGUUGCAUGGAAUAAUGAAAUAGGAGUUUACUUCUAUUUUGUUGGUUUUCGGAGGUGAACUAAUGAUUAACAGGGACAGACGGGGGCAUUUGUAUGGAGGGGUUAGAGGUGAAAUUCUUGGAUCCUCUCCAGACAAACUACUGCGAAAGCAUUUGCCAGGAAUGUUUUCACUAAUCAAGAACGAAAGUCAGAGGUUCGAAGACGAUCAGAUACCGUCCUAGUUCUGACCAUAAAUGAUGCCAUCUAACAAUCCACGAAGUUUGCUUGUACGAACUCGUGGGCGGUCCCCGGGAAACCAAAGAUUUUGGGUUCCGGGGGAAGUAUGGUUGCAAAGCUGAAACUUAAAGGAAUUGACGGAAGGGCACCACCAGGAGUGGAGCCUGCGGCUUAAUUUGACCCAACACGGGAAACCUCACCCGGCCCGGACACUUUUAGGAUUGACAGAUUGAAGGCUCUUUCUUGAUCAAGUGGUUGGUGGUGCAUGGCCGUUCUUAGUUGGUGGAGCGAUUUGUCUGGUUAAUUCCGAUAACGAACGAGACUC
This 1324-nucleotide ribosomal RNA is filed under the name metagenome. Its description in RNAcentral is "SSU rRNA". It matches the Rfam family "Eukaryotic small subunit ribosomal RNA", at positions 20 to 1343 of the family's 1831-position model. The record is from RNAcentral.